AGAGUUUGAUCAUGGCUCAGAACGAACGCUGGCGGCAGGCUUAACACAUGCAAGUCGAACGCACUCUUCGGAGUGAGUGGCAGACGGGUGAGUAACGCGUGGGAACCUACCCAUUGGUUCGGAAUAACCCAGGGAAACUUGGGCUAAUACCGGAUACGUCGGCAACGAGAAAGAUUUAUCGCCGAUGGAUGGGCCCGCGUCGGAUUAGCUAGUUGGUGGGGUAACGGCCUACCAAGGCGACGAUCCGUAGCUGGUCUGAGAGGAUGAUCAGCCACACUGGGACUGAGACACGGCCCAGACUCCUACGGGAGGCAGCAGUGGGGAAUAUUGGACAAUGGGCGCAAGCCUGAUCCAGCCAUGCCGCGUGAGUGAAGAAGGCCUUAGGGUUGUAAAGCUCUUUCAGCGGGGAAGAUAAUGACGGUACCCGCAGAAGAAGCCCCGGCUAACUUCGUGCCAGCAGCCGCGGUAAUACGAAGGGGGCUAGCGUUGUUCGGAAUUACUGGGCGUAAAGCGCGCGUAGGCGGAUUGGCCAGUCAGGGGUGAAAUGCCAGGGCUUAACCUUGGAACUGCCUUUGAUACUGCCAGUCUGGAGUACGGGAGAGGUGAGUGGAAUUCCGAGUGUAGAGGUGAAAUUCGUAGAUAUUCGGAGGAACACCAGAAGCGAAGGCGGCUCACUGGCCCGAUACUGACGCUGAGGCGCGAAAGCGUGGGGAGCAAACAGGAUUAGAUACCCUAGUAGUCC
Molecule: ribosomal RNA, 742 nt
Filed under: uncultured bacterium
Lineage: Bacteria
Description: bacterial SSU rRNA
Rfam family: Bacterial small subunit ribosomal RNA
Source: RNAcentral